This 160-nucleotide ribosomal RNA is filed under the name uncultured Bacillota bacterium. Its description in RNAcentral is "uncultured Firmicutes bacterium partial 16S ribosomal RNA". It matches the Rfam family "Bacterial small subunit ribosomal RNA", at positions 355 to 507 of the family's 1533-position model. Lineage: Bacteria; Bacillati; Bacillota. The record is from RNAcentral.
UAGGGAAUCUUCCACAAUGGACGCAAGUCUGAUGGAGCGACGCCGCGUGAGUGAAGAAGGCUUUCGGGUCGUAAAACUCUGUCGUUGGAGAAGAAUGGUCGGCAGAGUAACUGUUGUCGGCGUGACGGUAUCCAACCAGAAAGCCACGGCUAACUACGUG